UGAGGAAUAUUGGUCAAUGGGCGAGAGCCUGAACCAGCCAUGCCGCGUGCAGGAUGACGGCUCUAUGAGUUGUAAACUGCUUUUGUAAAGGGGUAAAGGACAGUACGUGUACUGUGAUGAAAGUACUUUACGAAUAAGGAUCGGCUAACUCCGUGCCAGCAGCCGCGGUAAUACGGAGGAUUCGAGCGUUAUCCGGAUUUAUUGGGUGUAAAGGGUGCGUAGAUGGGAAUGUAAGUUAGUUGUGAAAUCCCUCGGCUUAACUGAGGAACUGCAACUAAAACUAUAUUUCUUGAGUGCAGGAGAGGUAAGUGGAAUUCCUAGUGUAGCGGUGAAAUGCGUAGAUAUUAGGAGGAACACCAGUGGCGAAGGCGACUUACUGGACUGUAACUGACGUUGAGGCACGAAAGUGUGGGGAGCAAACA
RNAcentral lists this ribosomal RNA (422 nucleotides) under uncultured bacterium. RNAcentral describes it as "bacterial SSU rRNA". It matches the Rfam family "Bacterial small subunit ribosomal RNA", at positions 355 to 774 of the family's 1533-position model. The record is from RNAcentral.